CCCACCUGCAGCUCUUCAUAUCUCUGUCACCACACCGACAGACAGACAGUAUAGGACACUCAGUUUUAGAACAUGGACAUUAUCAAACAUGGACGCCUCAGCUUUUUAAUAUCACUGCUCUGCAUACAAGGUCUAAUUGAUGGGAGUGAUGUCACCCAGCAGCCUCUGCUGUGGAGGCCCGAGGGUCAGUCGGCCACAAUCAACUGCAGUCACACUAAGGAUGCUACUUUUUUCCAGAUGUACUGGUACAGACAGCUGCCAGGGGAGGGAAUGAAGCAAAUCGUUUUCACGACUACAACUCCCCCACAUAAAUAUGAAAGUGGCUUCAGUGAGGAGAAAUUUCCAGCAACAAGGAGCAAUGCUCUGACUGGAUCUUUGACGGUGGAGAAGCUGCUGCCUGAGGACAGUGGAGUGUAUUUUUGUGCUGUGAGUCAACACAGUGAUGCAGGUGACUGAGACAGCUGUACAAAUACUCAUGUGAAUACAAGUUAACAGUCUCUUUGAUGGACUACAGAGGGAGCUCUAAACUAACACUGAUACUGAUAUCUGUUACCAACUGCACAUGUAGAUUCCUGUUAGCAUUCAGGUAGGGCUGCAACUACUUUCAUUGUCAAGU
Non-coding RNA from Perca fluviatilis (European perch), 616 nucleotides. Lineage: Eukaryota; Metazoa; Chordata; Actinopteri; Perciformes; Percidae. The record is from the annotation of a RefSeq genome assembly.